CUUAAAAUCUUAUUUUCUUCCAGAAAUAGAUUGAGUUGCUCGCAGACAAGUUUCUCAAAUUAAUUUUGCAAUAACUAAAAGUAUAGAAAUAGGCCGGUAGUUACCCCGCGCUUUCUUAUUUCCAGAUUUAUAUAUUGGAGAAAUCCUUGCCGUUUUAAGAUCGUCUGGGAAAAUGCAAUUAUUUAGAGAAGUAUUGAAAAUAAGUGCCAA
Molecule: non-coding RNA, 210 nt
Organism: Paramuricea clavata
Lineage: Eukaryota; Metazoa; Cnidaria; Anthozoa; Malacalcyonacea; Plexauridae
Source: the annotation of a GenBank genome assembly